UUCUCUCAUCUUUUUCAUUCUUUUGCUCCAAUUGUUACCCUCCAUUCAUAUUUCUCUGAACCCACCACAACUCCUCAAUCUAGUCAACACAUUGCACACCAAUAGCCUUUCAUCUUACACUGCCCAACCCACAAGCCUUCUGCCAUUGCUAGUCUAGUAUCUCCUUCAACCUAUCUCAUAUUAGUCUUGCUUCUCACUGCUCCACACAACAUCUGGUUCUAGGGUUUAAGGUCUCUCGAUCUCAAUUUCUCUGUGCCACCGGAACCUUCAAGAGCUCAAAGCCAUGGCGAGUACCAAAGUCCAGAGGAUUAUGACCCAACCCAUUAACCUGAUUUUCAGGUUUCUUCAAAGUAAAGCUCGCAUUCAGAUAUGGCUUUUUGAGCAGAAGGAUAUGAGGAUUGAAGGCCGAAUCAUUGGCUUUGAUGAGUACAUGAAUUUGGUUCUUGAUGAUGCUGAGGAAGUCAAUAUCAAGAAAAAAACCAGAAAGUCUUUAGGAAGGAUUCUUCUCAAAGGAGACAACAUUACCCUGAUGAUGAACACAGGGAAGUGAUGCUCAUCAGCAACUGUUGAGGCUGUAUUAUGUUUCUAUUUCGGAGGCCUGGAAGUUUGAGCUGUGUAGUGUGUCCUGAUAUAUUGAACACUAAAACAUGCUUUUUUUGGACUGACGAUUUUAGGUGAUAAAUGUAGGUAGGAUAUGAUUCAUGAAGUCCGAAUGUUCAAGCUAUGAGUUUUCUUUAUAUUCAACUUGGCAAUUAAUAUUUUGAUGCUAUUCGGGAUCGUCUUUUAUGUGAUGUACAAUGUUGUAAGCUCUUUGUAUGCGUUUGCUACGCUGAUAUUUCCUUCUUGAAGCCUGAAGAAAUAUGCUGCUCUGAGUAGGUGCUGUAAUUUUAUGUUUCAUGCCUAUAUAUGUAGCAGACUUGUCUUUCAUAUGAGCAUAAUUUUUUUUAAUAAAUAAUUAGCUACAUAACACUGGUGAAUGG
RNAcentral lists this unclassified non-coding RNA (980 nucleotides) under Hevea brasiliensis (rubber tree). Lineage: Eukaryota; Viridiplantae; Streptophyta; Magnoliopsida; Malpighiales; Euphorbiaceae. The record is from RNAcentral.